UUGAAUCCUCAAGGAUGUUGCUGGCCUUUUUUUGGCAUGUGCACUCCGCCUUUCAAUUCACCUGUGAACUUAUUGUAGGCCCGAGUGGUCUAUGUUUUUUACACACCCAAAAGUUUAUAGAAUGUCACAUAGUAGACCUUUAUGGUCAAAAACUUUAAUA
Molecule: unclassified non-coding RNA, 160 nt
Filed under: uncultured Clavulinopsis
Lineage: Eukaryota; Fungi; Basidiomycota; Agaricomycetes; Agaricales; Clavariaceae
Description: sequence contains ITS1
Source: RNAcentral